GACGAACGCUGGCGGCGGCGCCUAACACAUGCAAGUCGAACGAGAGAGAGGAAGGCUUGGCUUACCGUUAAUCGAGUGGCGAACGGGUGAGUAACGCGUGAGGAACCUGCCUCAAAGAGGGGGACAACAGUUGGAAACGACUGCUAAUACCGCAUAAGCCCACAGCUCGGCAUCGAGCAGAGGGAAAAGGAGUGAUCCGCUUUGAGAUGGCCUCGCGUCCGAUUAGCUAGUUGGUGAGGUAACGGCCCACCAAGGCAAUGAUGGGUAGCCGGCCUGAGAGGGUGAACGGCCACAAGGGGACUGAGACACGGCCCUU
RNAcentral lists this ribosomal RNA (316 nucleotides) under uncultured bacterium. RNAcentral's name for it is "bacterial SSU rRNA". It matches the Rfam family "Bacterial small subunit ribosomal RNA", at positions 28 to 334 of the family's 1533-position model. The record is from RNAcentral.